UUAAGAGGCGGGGCGUAGUUGGAGGAAGUGAGGUCAUGGGGGUGUGGCCUUGGAGGGAAUAUUGAGACUUGGGGCUCCUUCCUGUUUCUCUGAUUCCCUGCCUCUGUGAGGUCAACAGGCUUUUCUGCUGUGAUGUGCUCCUUCUUUGAUGUACUGUGUUACUACAGGCCCAAAGCAAUAGGGCCAGAUCGAGUGGUUUUAUAGACUGAAACUCUGAAAUCAUGAGCCAAAAUGAACUUUUUUUUCCUUUUAAGUUGCUCAUCUCAGGUGUUCUGUCAUAGCAAAAGGAAGCUGACCAACACAGCCUAUGUAAAGUGUCUGUCAUAGAAAGGUGUCAGCAGAUACUUCACUGACAUUGCUGACCGGUUGCUGACGCAGCCCAGUCCUCAGCUCCACCUUUGGCAGCUUCUUCCAUCUCAGACUUCUCCUGGUGAUGGUCCACUUGCAGGGAGCACCCUCUGCACUUUGCAUUAACACUCACCCUUUGUACUGUUCUGGAUUUUUCUUCUGAGCUGGCCUUGGAUCCUACCACUGACUGCCCUGACACUGGCUUCCUGUGUUGGAUGGAGUGUCUGCUGUGCUGGAGAAGAAGAGAGUGAAACGGAAGUGGAGUGUGUGUCAUCUCCUUUGUCCUCAGUUAUUGUCCCAGGCUGUGAGCAAUGGCGGUGGAACCACGGAGCUAAAUCCCACCCCCCCAUCUUUCAGCUGCACGGCCCCCAGCAACUGCAUUCACCAUACUUUUUUCCUGCGCUUCCUAAAGACACUCCGACGGAGCACUUCCAGAACUGA
Molecule: long non-coding RNA, 789 nt
Filed under: Fukomys damarensis (Damara mole-rat)
Lineage: Eukaryota; Metazoa; Chordata; Mammalia; Rodentia; Bathyergidae
Description: lncRNA (ENSFDAG00000022496.1)
Source: RNAcentral